CCAAGAGUCACAGUUCCGAUGUCAGCUAUGACAGUAGAUCCAGAGGUAACUUCAGGCGACUGGUUAGUCAUUUCUUUUCCAUGUACAAAACGGUGUGCAUACUAAUGCACCCCACUUGGUCCUGCUGCGGUCCUAUCCAUCAGCUACUCUGUGCACCCCCCAUACUGGCUCUUCUGUCCUGUUCUCCCACAGUUUCAGCUCUGAAUGUUAAUGUCUGCCCACAGAAAUAGGUCAGAGCUCUGGAGCAGAGAACACCUGGGGAUUCAGAAUCAUCCCAGAGUGCUGUAUUUCUUCACCUGCCCAGACUGCACCCCUCAAGUCAGAUGUCCACUCACAAGGAACCAAUGUAUAAUGACCUCCCUGGGGACACUCCAAGGACUCCGAUCCUGUCAGCUGUGUCCUGGGGCGCAGACUCUGAACGGACAAUCCACAUUGGGGUCUGUGUGCAGUGCUAUGAAUUCAGCUCAGAACCUACGUAUAUAUCUUCAAAAUGAUUUGAAGGCCAGGUGUGGUGGUGCUCCCCUGUAAUUCCAGCACUCAGAAGGCUGAGGCAGGAGGAUCGCCUCAAGUUCAAGGCCAGCCUGGGCUACAUAGCAAGGCCCUGUCUCAAAAAGCCAGUCAACAAAACAAAACAAAAAGAGAUUUGAAGUUCCUUUGCCAGUUUUUGUAUUUGUACUGGUGGACAAGAUGCCACUGUUCCAUGCUUAAAAAUGUAAUCUUUCACUGUGCUGAGAAUUGAACCAUCCCACCGAGCAGACAAGCAAGGCCCAUCAACCAGUCAAAGCAUUCUGGAAUGGAAAUCUCACCUUCUCAGACUAAGUCCCCGGCAGUGUUAACUCCGUGCUGUACGAGCUUCUGGCUGUCACCUAGUGCUUUAAUGUUGUCCUGGUCAUUGGUGUCCACCUCUUGCAAAAGGGUCACCAGUUCCUCACCCAAGAGCUUCUGGAGGGCCCCUGUAAGUCACUGCAGUGCUGUUUGAGGAUGCCAUCUGUGACGCACUCUCUUCAGUCUGCCUCUGUGCCUCCUGCAGCCGCUGCUCCCACUCCACCUGUAGCUCUGUCACCCCCGUGUCCUGCACCAGCAGCUUGGGCUCCAGCCUCAGGCUCCCCCCAUUCAGCCAGGCAGCCAGUGGCUGAGGGCACAGGUUACCCCUCUCCCUUUAAUGACUUGUAAGGAACAUCUUGAGUUAUUUCCCUAUUGGUGGCUCAAGG
Heterocephalus glaber (naked mole-rat) is the source of this 1211-nucleotide long non-coding RNA. The record is from Ensembl. Lineage: Eukaryota; Metazoa; Chordata; Mammalia; Rodentia; Bathyergidae.